This 89-nucleotide small nucleolar RNA is filed under the name Arabidopsis thaliana (thale cress). The record is from RNAcentral. Lineage: Eukaryota; Viridiplantae; Streptophyta; Magnoliopsida; Brassicales; Brassicaceae.
UGGCGAUGAUGAUAACAUAUUAUCCCAGCUCAUUAUGAGACCUUUUGUGGUCAAGGAAAAUAACUGUUUUCUAUAACGUAUCUGAGCCA